GGAGGGCGCGAGCGUUGUUCGGAAUCAUUGGGCGUAAAGCGCGUGUAGGCGGCUUGGCAAGUCGGGUGUGAAAGCCCGGGGCUCAACCCCGGAACGGCACUCGAAACUGCUUCGCUAGAGUCCCGGAGAGGAGGGCGGAAUUCCCGGUGUAGAGGUGAAAUUCGUAGAUAUCGGGAGGAACACCAGUGGCGAAGGCGGCCCUCUGGACGGCGACUGACGCUGAGACGCGAAAGCGUGGGGAGCAAACAGGAUUAGAUACCCUGGUAGUCCACGCCGUAAACGUUGGGUGCUAGACGUCGCGGGUAUUGACCCCCCUGCGGUGUCGAAGCUAACGCCUUAAGCACCCCGCCUGGGGAGUACGGUCGCAAGGCUA
RNAcentral lists this ribosomal RNA (373 nucleotides) under uncultured organism. Its description in RNAcentral is "partial 16S ribosomal RNA". It matches the Rfam family "Bacterial small subunit ribosomal RNA", at positions 527 to 896 of the family's 1533-position model. The record is from RNAcentral.